GCAGCGGCCGCCUGCUGCUCUUUGUGGCAGUCGCAGUCCUUUUGUGGGAGUCCGGUCUGUCCACUUGCCGGUCCCUCAGACCGUCGGCGGUCUCUGUCCGCUUCGGGACCUGUCCGCUGGUCGCUCCGCGUCCGAUGGCUCCUGGCCGCGGAACCUUAGGCCUGGCCCUGGUCUCCGAGCGCGGGUUCGCCGGGAGGAGCGUGUGGCGGGGGUGUGCCGGGGCGUGAGUGCGCCGAGCAUGGGGCUGAGCCUGGUGUGGGGAGUGGGUAUCUGCGGAGCCGGCCUGAACCCCACCUCAGCCGGGCGCGGGGAGGGGGCUCCGUGCGUGUGAUCGUGCAGCUGUGAGCGCGUGGCCGCCCCGCGGGGCUCCGCUGCAGGCCCCUCAGCCCCAGGAGCAGUACUCGCUCUUCAGGGCCUGCCCUGGAUCCUGGAGGCUACACAGCUGCCCACUCCUCCUGGGGAGGCUGCCGUGGAGGCCAUGGAGAUCCCUGCCCCGGAGCCCGAGAAGACAGCUCUUUCCUCUCAGGAUCCUGCUCUUUCCCUGAAAGAGAAUCUCGAGGAUAUAUCGGGUUGGGGUCUUCCCGAAGCCAGGUCCAAGAGUUUGGCUCUUGUCACCCAGGCUGGAGUGCAGUGGCGCAAUCUUGGCUCACUGCAACCUCCACCUCUUGGGUUCAAGCAAUUCUCCUGACCUCAGGAAUCGGUGAGUUUCAAGGAUGUGGCUGUGGACUUCACCCAGGAGGAGUGGGGUCAACUAGACUCCCCUCAGAGGGCCUUGUACCGGGAUGUGAUGUUGGAGAACUACCAGAACCUUCUUGCCCUAGGACCUCCACUGCACAAGCCAGAUGUGAUCUCUCAUCUGGAACGAGGCGAGGAGCCAUGGAGCAUGCAGAGGGAAGUCCCCAGAGGGCCCUGUCCAGAAUGGGAGCUGAAGGCGGUGCCCUCUCAACAGCAGGGCAUUUGCAAAGAAGAACCGGCCCAGGAGCCCAUCAUGGAGCGGCCCCUCGGCGGGGCGCAGGCGUGGGGGCGCCAGGCAGGUGCUCUGCAGAGGAGUCAGGCUGCGCCCUGGGCGCCCGCACCUGCCAUGGUCUGGGACGUCCCUGUAGAGGAAUUCCCCCUCAGGUGUCCCCUCUUCGCCCAGCAACGCGUUCCCGAGGGGGGACCCUUGCUGGACACACGCAAGAACGUCCAGGCCACUGAGGGCAGAACCAAGGCCCCCGCGAGACUGUGUGCAGGGGAAAACGCCUCCACGCCAAGUGAGCCAGAAAAGUUCCCCCAGGUGCGCCGGCAGCGCGGGGCGGGCGCCGGGGAGGGCGAGUUCGUGUGCGGCGAGUGCGGGAAGGCGUUCCGCCAGAGCUCCUCCCUCACGCUGCACCGGCGCUGGCACAGCCGGGAGAAGGCUUACAAGUGCGAUGAAUGCGGCAAGGCCUUCACCUGGAGCACCAACCUUCUGGAGCACCGGCGCAUCCACACCGGCGAGAAGCCCUUCUUCUGCGGCGAGUGCGGGAAGGCCUUCAGCUGCCACUCGUCCCUCAACGUGCACCAGCGCAUCCACACGGGCGAGCGGCCCUACAAGUGCAGCGCCUGCGAGAAGGCCUUCAGCUGCAGCUCGCUGCUCAGCAUGCACCUGCGGGUGCACACCGGCGAGAAGCCCUACCGGUGCGGCGAGUGCGGCAAGGCCUUCAACCAGCGUACACACCUCACACGCCACCACCGCAUCCACACGGGCGAGAAGCCCUACCAGUGCGGCUCCUGCGGCAAGGCCUUCACCUGCCACUCAUCCCUCACCGUGCAUGAGAAGAUCCACAGCGGGGACAAGCCGUUCAAGUGCAGCGACUGCGAGAAGGCCUUCAACAGCCGCUCGCGCCUCACCCUCCACCAGAGGACGCACACGGGCGAGAAGCCCUUCAAGUGCGCCGACUGCGGGAAGGGCUUCAGCUGCCACGCGUACCUGCUCGUGCACCGGCGCAUCCACAGCGGCGAGAAGCCCUUCAAGUGCAACGAGUGCGGCAAAGCCUUCAGCUCCCACGCCUACCUCAUCGUGCACCGGCGCAUCCACACAGGCGAGAAGCCCUUCGACUGCAGCCAGUGUUGGAAGGCCUUCAGCUGCCACUCGUCCCUCAUCGUGCACCAGCGCAUCCACACCGGUGAGAAGCCCUACAAGUGCAGCGAGUGCGGCAGAGCCUUCAGCCAGAACCACUGUCUCAUUAAACAUCAGAAAAUCCACUCCGGGGAGAAGUCGUUUAAGUGUGAGAAAUGUGGGGAGAUGUUCAACUGGAGCUCGCACCUCACUGAGCACCAGAGGCUGCACAGCGAGGGGAAGCCCUUGGCCAUCCAGUUCAACAAACACCUGCUCAGCACAUACUACGUGCCUGGCAGCCUGCUGGGUGCAGGGGAUGCUGGACUGAGGGACGUGGAUCCCAUCGACGCGCUGGAUGUGGCAAAGCUCUUGUGCGUGGUUCCCCCCAGAGCUGGCAGGAAUUUCUCCCUGGGGAGCAAACCUCGAAACUAACAUGAUGUGCUUUGGUGUCAGUAGCUGCUUUCUGAGCUACUCAACAAGGAAAGCACCCUGGUCCUCCCUGGCUCCUAGAUCCAGACCACCUUCCUCCAGGUGUGGGAGCCUUGCCUUAUCACCCCCAUCAGGUCUGCAUGCCAGGGUGCCUCCUCUAGUUAAAGUCAGUCACCUCCCCAGAAGGGCCACACUCCAGGAGGAGUGUUGAGAGUCAUUUGAGGUAGUCUUGCCACCUGUUUUCCUUGAUGGGCCUGGAAGUUGUUGACAAGGGGAAAGAUCUUUCUUGCCAAUAAAAAGAAGGGAUAUCGUUGGGUGCCAUGGCUCACACCUGUAAUCUUAACACUGUGGGAGGCCAAGGCAAGGGGAUCACUUGAGCCCAGGAGUCUAGGACCAGCCUGGACAACAUGGUGAGACCUCGUCUCUACAAAAAAUGCAAAAAUUAGCCAGAUGUGGCGGCAUGUCCCUGUGGUCCCAGCUACUCAGGAGGCUGAGGUGGGAGGAUCAUUUGAGCCUAGGAGGUCAAGGCUGCAGUGAGCCAUGAUUCACAGCACUGCACUGCAGCCUGGGUGACAAAGCAAGACCCUGUGUGAAAUUAAAAGGAGGUAUAUCAACUGUUGUAUCCUCGGACGGGCUCCUGACACGGCUUUAAUCAGGAGUUUCCUCCAUAAACUAUUAUUUUCAGAAUAAUAAUAAAACAAGAAUUAUGACUAGCAUCACUUUCCAGUGAACAUUAUUAUAUUGCUAGAGAGGAGAAUAAUCUUGGGUGGUGGGCAUUUGGAAAAAGUGAAUUUCCUGGACUUAACUCAUGUAAAUAGCUCUACUGCAGAGCUGUGUGUUUAGUGACAGUGCAGUCAGGGGCAUUCCCACAGCUGUCACAGCACGGCCCAGCAUCAUUGUAGCCAGAUCCUAACAUGCCAACAUCACCUCUUGCCAUUUAGCCCCUAGUGAGAAAUUGGGAGCUACCAGGCAGGUGCCCAGUGCAUUCAGGGAAGAUGGGCACAACAUCAGGAUGGGUGUGUCUGGAAGCUCCUCUUCACUGACCAGGGCUGGGCAGGGCCACCCUGGGCUGGUGAGGCUGCCCUGCAGGGCUUCUCACUAUGUAGCACCAGUCACCAGCCCAGGUCACAGAAGAAGCCCCUCCCAGCACCCACUGGAGAGGGGAAGCUGAAGCCCAGGGAGACGGGCUCCAUGGUGGUCCCACAUGGAGCUGUUUUGCAAACCCUGGAAAAGGCGGCUCUCCCUGUCCCAACACUCUUCAGAGACAGGAAGACAGAGUUAAUCUUGAAUGAAUGUUAUUUCUACUUAGUCCUAAGCAAGAAUAAGCUGCCCUCUUGGUGAUCAUACUUUAUACGGAGUGCUAUCGUUUAUGAAAUGCUUUCAGUAUGCUUUUUAAAUUAUGCAGGCAAAAUAACCACACUUCAGAAAAUGUGGACUUCUGAAAAAUAAAAUCCCCAUAAUUCUUAAUAAAACUGCCUUUUGCACUUUGA
Homo sapiens (human) is the source of this 3996-nucleotide RNA transcript. It is a transcript of the gene named zinc finger protein 74, with no coding region annotated. The transcript has 6 exons. The record is from RefSeq and is marked validated. NCBI's taxonomy places the organism in Eukaryota, Metazoa, Chordata, Mammalia, Primates, Hominidae.